Brachypodium distachyon (stiff brome) is the source of this 125-nucleotide non-coding RNA. The record is from Rfam. Lineage: Eukaryota; Viridiplantae; Streptophyta; Magnoliopsida; Poales; Poaceae.
UUACUACUCCCUCCGAUCCUAAAUUGUUGUCGAAAUAUUACAUGUAUCUAGACGCCUUCUAAGAGUAGAUACAUCCAUAUUUAGGCAAAUUGGAGACAAGAAUUUAGGAUCGGAGGGAGUAUCUC